This 561-nucleotide long non-coding RNA is filed under the name Anas platyrhynchos platyrhynchos (common mallard). RNAcentral's name for it is "lncRNA (ENSAPLG00000016570.1)". Lineage: Eukaryota; Metazoa; Chordata; Aves; Anseriformes; Anatidae. The record is from RNAcentral.
GUGAAACCAGAGGCUCUACUGGUUCCUCAGUGCCGGAAGACAAAUGCUUAGGUUUAAAAUGUCUGUUUCCCUCUUUGAGGGAAAGGAAAAUCUUGAAAAAAAAAAAAAAAAGAUUGAGUGCUUCACCUGUUGGCAAAGCACAGAAUGAAAUAAAGUGUCAGAGACAGGCCAUUGUCUCACCUCUGGCAUUCAGCCAUUUGCUUAGCAGAGACUCAGAAAUGGACCGCAGGAAACCAUUUUGUACAUUCCCUUGAUCCAGAGAGAAUUGGUUAUGCUAUGUCACUCUAGGAUGUAAGGAAUGAGUAUAGUUACAACAACAAAAACAACAAAAACCCUCUGGUUCAAAACUGUGGCAAGAAAUUCUUGAGAAAGGAGAAGGUGACAGAGUUUGGAUGCAGAUUAGAAUUCAGUUGCUGUGUUAGUGCAGCAAAAGAAUUCCCUACCUGAGAGCAUUGUAAAGUCUGAGAAAAACAUCACCAUUAUCCAGAAAGGUCACCAAAAGAAACCAAUUAGAACUCUGGAAGGAAUAAAUCUUUAAUAAUGCCCUCCCUGGAAAGGUCA